RNAcentral lists this unclassified non-coding RNA (355 nucleotides) under soil metagenome. RNAcentral's name for it is "partial contains 5.8S ribosomal RNA, internal transcribed spacer 2, and large subunit ribosomal RNA". The stretch from base 1 to 120 matches the Rfam family "5.8S ribosomal RNA", at positions 35 to 154 of the family's 154-position model. The record is from RNAcentral.
GAUGAAGAACGUAGCGAAAUGCGAUAAGUAAUGUGAAUUGCAGAAUUCAGUGAAUCAUCGAAUCUUUGAACGCACAUUGCGCCCAUUAGUAUUCUAGUGGGCAUGCCUGUUCGAGCGUCAUUAAGUCCACUUAAGCCCUGCUUAGUGUUGGGAGACUGCUCCAGCGGUGCUACCCUGUAGCUACCCUGCAGCUCCUCAAAGACAGCGGCGGAGUUGUGGUAUCCUCUGAGCUUAGUAACUUGUUCUAGCUUUCGAGUACAUCACUUCCCCUGCCGUAAAACCCUUAAUUUUUAAUGGUUGACCUCGGAUCAGGUAGGAAUACCCGCUGAACUUAAGCAUAUCAAUAAGCGGAGGA